UGCUGUCUCCUCCUAUAGCCUGGUCUCAGAUCUGCUGUCUCCUCCUAUAGCCUGGUCUCAGAUCUGCUGUCUCCUCCUAUAGCCUGGUCUCAGAUCUGUCCCUAUCAAGACAAACUGUUUGGCGUGACAAGGAGUUGACAUGAUGGCACAAACUGGCAUCAUCAGGCUACUAUAUAAAUCAGGCGUCUCAUUAGAAUGUACAGUGAUGACGGUUACGCUGUCCAUGUUGUAAAGUAGGAGAGACAUGUUUUAUAUCUGUCUGGACUAUGUCACUAAUGUGUGUCCCUAAAAGAGAAAUGUUAUUUUUAAAUGUUUCCAGGUUCACAUUGAGGCUGGUGUUAUUUGUUAAUCUAAUGAACAUUUUUUAAAUUAAUUUCUGUUAAUCUAAUCCAUGUGGUGUGCAUGACGUACACAUUAACAGCAGUAAGCAAAUAGUUUUUAUGGAGAAAGAAACAAUUUAUUGCUUUAUCUACUUUAGUAUUGUUUGCAAAGAAGGAAAACAAAAAUGAUGAGACUUUCAAACAAAUAUGACUUUAAAACAGACCGUUUGAUGCUGUUUUGAAAGCCAUAUGGAGCUAUUCAUUUAAUCCUCAAGGCCCGACGCUGCCACCUAGUGGAUGUAUAGCAGUCCUGCAGCUCAUCCAAUCACUGUAAUAGAGGGGUGGAUUAAGGGUGUGUGUAUAAAUCCUUUUUCUUUUUUUUUGGUCAUAAUUAGCACCCUAUUCCCUAAGUAGUGCACUACUUUUGACCAGAGUCCUAUGUAGAGAAUAGGGUGCCAUUUGGGACUCAGUCAUGGUUGAUGUUUAACGUUUUACAUUCCAUGUAUUUUGUUUUGUCUGGAUAUAGGUGUGUGUCGUCACCCUACUGACCUUGUAUGAAGCAAAAACAAAUACAUUUUAUAUUAUCCUACGAAUGCCAAUAAAGAGAGCUCAGGACAGUUGCACUUCGAGUAAAUGUCUGUUUCAUGAGGAUCGGGGUCUUGUUGUAUUGGCGUCGUGCACCAGCGUCAAUCAUUGUCAUGUACAUGUUAGACUGUUCAAACGUCUCCUUGGAAACGAGCCUGGAGUCGGGACACCCAACUGGGUUCCUAGCCAGCCACUGAGUUGGAGCCAAUUGAUGUAUAGGCUAUAUAAUCAUUCUGUGUAUAUAGGCCUCUGGUUGGCCCAGGCUAUUGGGA
Molecule: long non-coding RNA, 1177 nt
Organism: Oncorhynchus tshawytscha (Chinook salmon)
Lineage: Eukaryota; Metazoa; Chordata; Actinopteri; Salmoniformes; Salmonidae
Source: Ensembl